AGAGCAUUUGAUGGUAACAGGAAUUUGUUGCACAAGAUCACUAGACUUUCACGGUUUCACCUAAGGCAAAGAUAAGCUCUUUAUUAGUUCUCUUGACAAAAGUCUAUGGCGUAAAUCACCAUGGGUAGGUACAAUGAGAUUAUCAGGGUGGUGUUUACUUGAAGAAGUUUGGAUACGACACUUGAAAAGUAAUUGAGGUUCCUGACUAGAUCAGCGAGCCCAAGCGGCCCUCAGACAAGCCCCUCCGUCUUACACUCCAGGAUAUUUAAUGGUUGUAUUGGAACGAUUUGAACCAAUGACUCUCGCCGUAUGGAAGCGAUACUCUAACCGGUGUCAGUGGGUCGUGUGGAGCCUGGGUACGGUUGUGACCUUUGCACUCUGGCCAGCAUGUCGGAUAUGAUCACAGACGGAUGUGACGGAUUUAUUAAGAUACAAAAGCGGAUAAAAUGAGCAGAGAGUCAUGCGUUUGUGGAGUAACUGUAUGGAUGGGAGCACUUUAGAAAAGGAGGCCACAGUGGAUCUGUAUUUGUACAGCACAAGGAGCAACUUUUGGACAUCACUCUUCCAAAUAUCCUUCACUUGCAAAUAAAUGACGGUCAAAAUAUGUUUAAUCAAGAUUUGUUGUCAUAAAAAAAUUAAACGUAUUUAUUACGUAACUGUAAUUGGUCAUAUACGUUCUCUUCUGAUGAAGUUAGGAGAGGUAUAAGAACUAAAGGAGGAAGAGGAUGUAUUAAGGUUCCCAAUAAUAAAGAUACUAUACUUUGAUCCAA
Molecule: long non-coding RNA, 770 nt
Organism: Raphanus sativus (radish)
Lineage: Eukaryota; Viridiplantae; Streptophyta; Magnoliopsida; Brassicales; Brassicaceae
Exons: 2
Source: RefSeq, a predicted model, not a curated record